RNAcentral lists this ribosomal RNA (444 nucleotides) under uncultured bacterium. RNAcentral's name for it is "bacterial SSU rRNA". It matches the Rfam family "Bacterial small subunit ribosomal RNA", at positions 355 to 796 of the family's 1533-position model. The record is from RNAcentral.
UAAGGAAUAUUGGUCAAUGGACGAAAGUCUGAACCAGCCAUGCCGCGUGAAGGAUGAAGGCCCUCUGGGUUGUAAACUUCUUUUAUCUGGGACGAAAAAAGCUCAUUCUUGAGCACUUGACGGUACCAGAGGAAUAAGCACCGGCUAACUCCGUGCCAGCAGCCGCGGUAAUACGGAGGGUGCAAGCGUUAUCCGGAUUUACUGGGUUUAAAGGGUGCGUAGGUGGGUAAGUAAGUCAGUGGUGAAAUCUCCGAGCUUAACUCGGAAACUGCCAUUGAUACUAUUUAUCUUGAAUUUUCUGGAGGUGAGCGGAAUAUGUCAUGUAGCGGUGAAAUGCUUAGAUAUGACAUAGAACACCAAUUGCGAAGGCAGCUCACUACGGGAACAUUGACACUGAGGCACGAAAGCGUGGGGAUCAAACAGGAUUAGAUACCCGCGUAGUCC